Erinaceus europaeus (western European hedgehog) is the source of this 560-nucleotide long non-coding RNA. RefSeq lists it as uncharacterized. The record is from RefSeq and is a predicted model, not a curated record. The transcript has 2 exons. Lineage: Eukaryota; Metazoa; Chordata; Mammalia; Eulipotyphla; Erinaceidae.
UUUUUGGUGAGGAUGAAAUGGAAACCAAAUGAGGGUUUGGUUUCAAUUUUGGCUUACUGUCCUGCAUACCAGAAAGCCAAAAGCUAUCACAGCAGAGUUUGCAAGAAGGGAAAAACUUUACUCCAAUUCCAAAUACAUUGAAGGCAGGAGCAAUGUUAAAGCCUCCCUUUCUGUCUCUCUGUUUCAGGAAAUAUUUGUACAGGUAAGGAAGACCUUGUGGACUGGCAUAGGAUCCCGGUUUGAGCCCCUGGCUCCCCACCUGCGGGGGGGGGUCACUUUACAAGCCGUGAAGCAGGUUUGUAGGACCCAGAUUCCAGGAAAACUUCAAUGUCUUCUUCACAAAAUUUCAAAUGGUGCACAUUCUACUGUCCUGGGGCACAAAAGACUUCCAUGCCUGCAGCUCCAAGGUCCCAGAUUCAAUCCCCAGCACCUUCUCCAAAUAAGCCAGAGUUGAAAAAUAAUAAAUAAAUAAAUUUAUUGUUCCUUAACUAUUUGAGCGAGGUUUUUCAGAGUACUAGUUUCCCCUUCUUUAGCGAAAAAAAUAAAUGUCGCUUUAAUUA